GGAGAUGAAAGUCCCAUCUCGAUACAACUUUUGUCCUGGUGUGCUAGAGUCCUCAAGGAGAGUCUACUGGUCUGGAUUCACUGGCAGAGGCACUCAGUGCCCCUGUUAGUGUGCAGGUCAGAGACUUUC
This 129-nucleotide small nucleolar RNA is filed under the name Nannospalax galili (Upper Galilee mountains blind mole rat). Its description in RNAcentral is "Small nucleolar RNA SNORA3/SNORA45 family (ENSNGAG00000009209.1)". It matches the Rfam family "Small nucleolar RNA SNORA3/SNORA45 family". Rfam says of the family: The members of this family belong to the H/ACA class of snoRNAs which are thought to guide the sites of modification of uridines to pseudouridines. This family includes mouse snoMBI-28 and human homologues ACA3 (SNORA3) and ACA3-2 (SNORA45). Lineage: Eukaryota; Metazoa; Chordata; Mammalia; Rodentia; Spalacidae. The record is from RNAcentral.